This 85-nucleotide microRNA precursor is filed under the name Choloepus hoffmanni (Hoffmann's two-fingered sloth). RNAcentral describes it as "miRNA (ENSCHOG00000015832.1)". Lineage: Eukaryota; Metazoa; Chordata; Mammalia; Pilosa; Megalonychidae. The record is from RNAcentral.
UGCUCUGGAUUAGGCUUUGGCUUAAGGGAGUGUUGUGGCUGGUUUGAUCUUCUAUCCAGGCCACUCUAACUUGCUCCAUAUCAAC